Molecule: ribosomal RNA, 962 nt
Filed under: Cryptophyllachora eurasiatica
Lineage: Eukaryota; Fungi; Ascomycota; Sordariomycetes
Description: LSU rRNA
Rfam family: Eukaryotic large subunit ribosomal RNA
Source: RNAcentral
GGGCGGGAUUACCCGCUGAACUUAAGCAUAUCAAUAAGCGGAGGAAAAGAAACCAACAGGGAUUGCCCUAGUAACGGCGAGUGAAGCGGCAACAGCUCAGAUUUGAAAGCUGGCUCCUCUAGCGGGGAGUCCGCGUUGUAAUCUGCAGAGGACGUCUCGGGCGAGGUGGUGCACUAAGUCCCCUGGAACGGGGCGCCAUAGAGGGUGACAGCCCCGUGCGUGUGCCGCUGAGUCUAUGUGAGGCUCCUUCGACGAGUCGAGUAGUUUGGGAAUGCUGCUCUAAACGGGAGGUACAUGCCUUCUAAAGCUAAAUACCCGCCAGAGACCGAUAGCGCACAAGUAGCGUAAGCGAAAGGUGAAAAGCACCCUGGAGAGAGGGUUAAACAGAACGUGAAAUUGCUGCAAGGGAAGCGCUAGCGUUGAGACGCGGGCCGGCCUGUUUACCUCGCCCUCGGGCGGGGCGACUCAGUGUCCGUGCCCGGGCCAGCACCGGCUCUCGAGGCCGCUGAAGACCGCCGGGAACGUGGCUCCUCCGGGAGUGUUAUAGCCUGGCGGGCGAUGCGGUCGAGGGGGCCGAGGAACCCUGCGCCCUCUGGGCAUGGGUGCUGGCAUAAUCAUCAUUAGCGACCCGUCUUGAAACACGGACCAAGGAGUCGAGGUAUCGCGCGAGUGUUGGGGCGUCAAACCCCUAACGCGCAGUGAAAGCGAACGCUUGUGGGAAGCCCUUAUGGGCGGCACCACAGACCGAUCUAGAAGCUUUGGUGGACGGAUUUGAGUAGGAGCGUGGUGCCUCGGACCCGAAAGAUGGUGAACUAUGCUCGGAUAGGGUGAAGCCAGGGGAAACUCUGGUGGAGGCUCGCAGCGGUUCUGACGUGCAAAUCGAUCGUCGAAUCUGGGCAUGGGGGCGAAAGACUAAUCGAACCAUCUAGUAGCUGGUUACGGCCGAAGUUUCCCUCAGGAUA